CCCCAGAAAGAUCAUGCUUAGGAUUCAUGGCUCAAACCAGCUAUGGGGGGCAUGAGGGCACAAAUUCUCAUUCAGAGUCACAGAAACCUUCAAUUGUAAAUGAACUGGAAUAUAUAACUGGACCUGGUCCUUGAAAUUUUGUGGUCCUUUCAAAGCAAAAUAGAAAAAAAGAAAAAAACAUGUCUGUUGUCUGACUUCUUUUCCCAAGAAACUAAAAACAUAGUGCAAAUGAGCCUUUUGUUGUGGAUCAUCAUCCUUACAAGACCUGUCUCUGAUUCCAACGUUGGAAGAACUUCCCCUCUCUCGCCCAUUUUUACUCAUCCCUGACUUGAAAUAGAUCUCAAGGUCUCAUUUUGACCAUAUAUUCUUUCAGCUACGAGGAGGAAAUGAGGAGAGGUUAAUAUAGCCAUGUAAAAACCAUCAGCAAACUAGAAAACAACUACAGGCUUAACAUCAACAAAACCAGACCAUUUCAUCACAAUUGCCAAACAUGCAGCUGGUCUAGGAGUCAGAGAAGCUUAGCGAGGAUCUAUGGAAGGUGAAGCUGUUGGAGGCUCCACUGAUAUUUCACCUCAAUGAGGAGAGUGAGGAGUCGAUGACUUCAUGCAAAACGAUGCAGCAGUUCACAUCAUUCUGUCAGUCCCCAUCAAGGAAAUAUUGUUUUCCAAAAUUAAAAUUAUGAAUCAACUCACAGGAGAAUGUCGUCAAAUAAACAAAGAAUCAUCAGUUAUAUUACACUGCCAACUUUUUGAUAAGCUUAAUUCUUCUAAAUGCAUUUAACUUUAAGGAAGAGUAAUACAAUUUAAUAACAACAUAAAAUGGGAUCGUUUAUCUUCCAAGUCCUAGAUAUUGGGCAGAUGUCUUCUCUCUUCUUCUUAAUAUAUUGUUUCAAACACAAAAUUUUUUUACUUUUCCCUUCUCCUCCUGAUUUGUUUCUCCUCAUUUCUAUAUAUGUGGUUUGGGGAAUGAGCUCUAUGUAUAUGUUUAACUAAAUCGCUCAUCAGGCUGUAGUUUUCACAGUUGUAAAUCUCUGAGAUUUGUGGAUUUAAGUUCCCAAGGCAGUGCUAUUUAUAUGGCCUAAUACAAUUUGGUAAUUAUUAGCAUAUUAGUAAUGGUUAUUUUAGUUGCAAGUGACAUAAAACCAAAUUCAAACUGAUUUAAACAAAAAGAGAAAUUACUGGCACAUGUAAGUGGGAGAUGAAAGAUGGAUGCUGGUUUCAGGGGCUCAGAUGGGGUGAAUUGGUGCUUCCCAUCUCCUGGCUUGCUUUCCUCUGUGCCACCUUCAUUCUCAGGUAAGCACUCUCCUUACCUGUAGCAAAGGAGUGUUCAUGAAGCAACACAGUAGGUCAUUCACUGAUACUGAGUGAACUUUGGAUAUUUGCAAAUGAGGCAAGGGGCUCCAACUGAGACCAAACUGGGAUUUGGGGUCUCCUUGUGUGUCUGUUCAUGUGAUCUGUACUUUUGUUUUCUUUUUUCUUUCUUUUUUCUUUUUUGGCUUAAGGAGAGGUUUUGUUAUAAGGCUCUGGGAGACAGGCAAGGUGAGGAGGCAUCACGUGGUGCCAUGUCUCCUACAUGACCCAAGAAGCAGUUUUUGAACCUCUGCGAGAAGCACAAUUAUAAUAGAAGGUGAAAUCAGUGCAGCACAGUUUGGAUGCAUCAAGGGCAUGAUAGCUUUGAAAUGCUUCCAGGAGGCAACGUCAGUGCAAGAUAGGACAGCAUGGCACAGAGAAGGAAUGACGAGCCUGAAGGCUAUAGUCUCAUUUUUGAACACCCUCUAGGAGACUUCCAGAGCUGCUUGGGUGAUUGGGGUGGAGAGGCAGAUUGGGGCAGAGAAACAAUGCAGAAGACAUCAUCAGAGUUAAAUCAGAGUAAGUGAAUGUGAAGAUAUAAAGAAAUAGUAUUGUGUGUUGACAACUAUUUCAAGUUGAUAACUCAGUAAAAUACACUGCUUAUAUAGAAAGCCAGUGGCAUUAUCACAGGAUGUUUUUCAUUUGUUGCCUAUAAAGAAGUCAUGUUAUUGCUCUGAAUGGGCUUUCAAAGAUAGAACCAGUGUUAGAAGAGCCGUUUCAGACAUGUUGCAAAUAACCGAGCAACGUUAAGAUUCCUCACAAGAACACUCUUCUUAUAUAACUUCUUCUCUGGUUAAAAGCAUUUAAAAUUUUUAAGAACCAUAUAUAAUAGAAUUUCAGGAAUUAUACAUUCAAAUCAGUCAUGUGGUCUACAAAAGUUAACUGUAAAUUGUUAUCUAGAUAAAAGCCUCUAUUACUUUUGUUUGUAUAAGCUCGGAUUGUAAAUAAAACUGCUGCCAGAAGAAUGCUCAUUAAAGUGGAUUUAAGAUUCCAAA
This is a long non-coding RNA of Pteropus alecto (black flying fox), 2344 nucleotides long. RefSeq lists it as uncharacterized. The record is from RefSeq and is a predicted model, not a curated record. NCBI's taxonomy places the organism in Eukaryota, Metazoa, Chordata, Mammalia, Chiroptera, Pteropodidae. The transcript has 3 exons.